GCCGAUGUGGUGGAAUUGGUAGACACGCUAUCUUGAGGGGGUAGUGGCGCAAGCCGUCCCGGUUCGAGUCCGGGCAUCGGCACCA
Molecule: transfer RNA, 85 nt
Filed under: Gammaproteobacteria bacterium
Lineage: Bacteria; Pseudomonadati; Pseudomonadota; Gammaproteobacteria
Description: tRNA-Leu
Rfam family: tRNA
About the family: Transfer RNA (tRNA) molecules are approximately 80 nucleotides in length. Their secondary structure includes four short double-helical elements and three loops (D, anti-codon, and T loops).
Source: RNAcentral